UACGGAGGAUGCGAGCGUUAUCCGGAUUUAUUGGGUUUAAAGGGUGCGUAGGCGGCGCUUCAGGUCAGCGGUGAAAUACCGGGGCUCAACCCCGGGGCUGCCGUUGAAACCGGAGCGCUAGAAUUCCGAUGCCGUCGGAGGAAUGUGUGGUGUAGCGGUGAAAUGCAUAGAUAUCACACAGAACUCCGAUCGCGAAGGCAAGUGUCCGGGGUGCAACUGACGCUGAGGCUCGAAAGUGCGGGUAUCAAACAGG
This 253-nucleotide ribosomal RNA is filed under the name uncultured bacterium. RNAcentral's name for it is "partial 16S ribosomal RNA". It matches the Rfam family "Bacterial small subunit ribosomal RNA", at positions 524 to 776 of the family's 1533-position model. The record is from RNAcentral.